AACGCGAAGAACCUUACCCAGGCUUGACAUGCAGAUGACGAUUACAGAGAUGUAAUUUCCCUUUGGGGCGUCUGCACAGGUGCUGCAUGGCUGUCGUCAGCUCGUGCCGUGAGGUGUUUGGUUAAGUCCAGCAACGAGCGCAACCCUUAUCAUUAGUUGCCAACACUAUGGGUGGGAACUCUAAUGAGACUGCCUGGGUUAACCAGGAGGAAGGUGAGGAUGACGUCAAGUCCGCAUGGCCCUUAUGUCUGGGGCUACACACGUGCUACAAUGGUCGGUACAGAAGGCAGCGAAACCGCGAGGCGGAGCAAAUCCCGAAAGCCGAUCUCAGUUCAGAUUGUAGUCUGCAACUCGACUACAUGAAGACGGAAUUGCUAGUAAUGGUGGGUCAGCAACACCACCGUGAAUACGUUCCCGGGCCUUGUACACACCGCUAGUC
Molecule: ribosomal RNA, 439 nt
Filed under: uncultured bacterium
Lineage: Bacteria
Description: bacterial SSU rRNA
Rfam family: Bacterial small subunit ribosomal RNA
Source: RNAcentral